This is a long non-coding RNA of Salvia miltiorrhiza (redroot sage), 755 nucleotides long. RefSeq lists it as uncharacterized. The record is from RefSeq and is a predicted model, not a curated record. Lineage: Eukaryota; Viridiplantae; Streptophyta; Magnoliopsida; Lamiales; Lamiaceae. The transcript has 2 exons.
AAUCUCAGCCCAAAACAAAAUUGAGGUCCAAGCCACUUCUCAUGCUAACCCUAAAUAAACACACACUAAAACACAUUUAAACACACACACUCAGCCACAACUUCACACACUCACACACACGCAUCAGACGCACCCUCUCUCUCUAUAUCGGUGCUCUGCCGCCGCCGCCCCGACGGCGGUGCCCGCCGGACGGAGGCCCGCGUUGGCCCCUCCCCUCUCUCCCUGAACUCUUUCCCCCUCUCUUCCCCUCUAUCUCUCUCGCUCUCUCGGCCGCUGGACCCAGGCGCAGCAGACACCACCACCGCGGUGCGCCGCCAUCGCCGGGCCGCCGCCUGCUCCCUCAUUCUCGCGGCAGAUCCGCCGCGGCCUGAAGACCACGGCGCCGUCGCUCAUCUCGCCAUCUCCCUCGUUCUCACCUUCUCUCUUUCUCACCGACUCACACACACGCGCACGCAGACACGGCGUAAGCCGCGCUGCCGCGUCGUCCUCCCCUUCGCCGGUGGACAGACGGCCAGGGGGCCGCCGCCUCCGUCGUCCGUCGAAUUAAAGAUCGGAAGCCACCGCGGCUCCGUCGCCGUCCGUCGACCGCCGGCGACGACGAGUCACCAAGGCUGCCCUCUCCCUCUCUCGACUCACACACAAAACAGGGGUUCAAGCCUCAUAUUCAGUUCACAAAAUAGCAUAGGGUUUUUGUUAGCACAUAUCAUUCUCAAACUGUAAUUUCUUAAUGAAAUCUGAAUUUCUUUCCUUGCAAA